Long non-coding RNA from Bradysia coprophila, 153 nucleotides. NCBI's taxonomy places the organism in Eukaryota, Metazoa, Arthropoda, Insecta, Diptera, Sciaridae. The record is from RefSeq and is a predicted model, not a curated record.
AAAUCGAUGAAAAGUACACUCGUAAGAUUAUGUAACUCGAUCGCAAUUGAUAUGAGACACCACAGCUAACCGAUAAGAUCAAACCACUGAAGAUGACCAUGAACUGUGGUCCAAAGUAUUUGGCAAUCAAUAAAGCUACCUGAGCUAUUCCGA